This is a long non-coding RNA of Apis dorsata (giant honeybee), 230 nucleotides long. RefSeq lists it as uncharacterized. Lineage: Eukaryota; Metazoa; Arthropoda; Insecta; Hymenoptera; Apidae. The transcript is spliced from 3 exons. The record is from RefSeq and is a predicted model, not a curated record.
AGUAGAAGAAUGUGAUAAAGAUUCAUGGAUAUUGAUGGACAGAUUAUUUUGACGAUUUAAAAUUGUGCAUUGAUGUGGAUUGAAGAAGAAGAAUGAUAUUAAUUCGGGGAAAUUUAUCGUUUUUUUUUUAAGGAUUAUUAUACGAGAUGGUGUUUGAGUGAAGUUGUUUUUGGUUGUUUGAACUUUGGUUGAAAGUUUUUCUUUUCUUUUCUUUUCUUUUGUUUUUUUUU